UGUUAUGGCAGAAUCAUGUCCCUCCCCGGCCACAGGGUAGCCACCUGUGACAUGUUACUGUACAUGGCAAAAUGCAUGACAGAUAUUUUAGGACAAAAAUCUUAGAGGAUUUCUGUCUUCUAAAUUGUCUAUCAGUUAGCAUUUUAAACCCAUGAUACAUUAUUAAAGAUUAGUGCAGGGGGACAAAUAAAAAGGAUUCAUGUAAUCUCACCAGACAUACUGAAUGUAGAAAGGCUAAGGAAGAAAAACAAAAAGUCAUUCAUAUGUGCCUUGAACCAUAAAAUGCCCAUGAGAGGAAAUGUUACACAAGGUGAGUGUCACAGCCACAUUCAUAAUGCCUGAAUGGGAUGGGACAAGGGGAUCCUGAGAUGAGACAAUAGGGCGAGUAGCCUGGAUUGUCCAGGUGGGCUGAAUGUAAUCACAGGGGUCCUUGAAAUGGAGGACAUUUCCCAGCUGAGUUUAAAAUCAGAGGGAGGUGUAGCCAUAGAGCAAUGUUCAGAAAGGCUGCUGACCAUGAAAAUGGAGGAAGUCGUGGGGCACAAGCUAAGGAAGGUGGGUGACCUCUGGAAACUGGAAAAAAACAACAACAACAAGGAAACAUUCUCUUCUAGACCCUCUAGAAGGAAGGAACCCUGCUGCUACCUUGAAUUUAGCCCAAUGAGAACUGUGUUGGAUCUCUGACCUCCACAGCCAUAAGCUGAUAAAUCUGUGCUGGUUUAAGCUCUUAAGCUUAUGGAAAUUUCUUACAUUGGUAAGAGGAAAAUAACAUAGUGAGCCGUAGUGUAACGGAUUAAAGGUAUAGGAUGGGGUGUGGAGAGGAUUCUGACAUUUACAACUAAAAAACAACCAGGUGAAGUGGAAGGUGUUUUAAGGAAGACCUACCUGGCAGGGCUAUUAAGCAGACUGGAGCGAGGGGAGCAUUGGAGUUAGAGGAAUCAAUUAAAUCUCUACCAGAAAAAUAAGGAAUAAAAUGUAACAGGGCUUCAGUGAUAGUGGAUGUAGGAAUGGAAAUGGGCAGAGAGACAUAAAUAUUACUUUGAAAUUAGCUACAGGUUUGAUGACUGCAUGUUGGGGAGACUUAGCCGAUGUGUGGACUGAAUGUUUGCAUCCCCUCAAAAUCCAUAUGUCGAAACCCCAUCUCCCAGGGUGAUGGUAUUGGGAGGUGGGGCCUUUGGGACGUGAUUAGUAGGAUAAAAUGAGGUCAUGAGAGUAGAGCCCUCAUGAAUGGGAUUAGUGUUCUUAUACAAGCCCCCAGAGUGCUUGCUUCUCUCUGCUCUCUGGGAUAUGAAUAUAUUGGGAAGACAGCCAUCUUCGAGCUGGCAAUCCUCUCAAGGAUACAUUGACCUUGAAAGUCUCAGCCUCCAAACCAUAAGGAAUAUGCUGGUUGUUUAAGCCACCCGACCCACGGUAAUUUGUUACAGCACCCCAGACUGACGAAGACAGUGGAGAAUGCCUCUGAGUUUGGCACUGAUUGCCUGGAGAAUGCUGAAACCCAGGGAAGUGGGCAGCACAGACGUUUACUCAUUUAAUCCUGCCAACACAGUAGGAGAUAGAGUCUACAUAUUCCUCGCUACUUAAAAGAUCCCUGCCUUCUCUCUGCUCCUCCUGUCCAUGUCUCUCCCUCCACUUUUCCCCUUCUCCCCUCCUCCUCCCAUCUUCUCCGUCCCUCCCUUCCCCAACUUCUCUUGCAGAACACAGAGAGGAUCGCUGGCCCUCCUGCGCAUGCGCAGUCUGUGCCAGCUGGACCGAGGGUUGGAAACUGCAACUCCGAGCCGGGGAUCGGCCCCAAAGGCUUCUCAGCUCUUUCGCCCGCUCAGUGGUGUGGGCGCUGCUCCCCGGGCUGAGAGCCUCCGGCUGUGAACCCCAGCUUCUCCUGUUGGAGUCGGGAAAAGGGAGCGUCAGUGCUGAGCGAGCUUCCGUCUCCUCCCUCAGUGUUUCUGCCCCAGUACGUUUUGGUUACUGAGACCCUCGAAUUCCCAUAUGAAUUGUAGCAGCAGCUAGUCAGUUUCUGCAGAGGAGACCGCAGGGAUUGUGAUCGAGACCACGUUGAAUAUACGGAUCGUUCUGGGGAGCACUGCCAUUCCAAAAGCGCUGUCUUCUGAUCCAGCAAUGUGCGUGGUUUGUCCAGGUGCCCUCACCUCCAGUAGCAUCCAUCCAGACACCGGAACUGACACUGGCCGUGCUCCGAACUGCCUCAGCCCUGAAGACACAACUGACAAAUAGAAGGGGACCACGCCCUGUUACAGCAGGUGCUCUCACUUUGUGGAUCCUUAUGUAACUGAGCGGUGUUAAUCAGGAUUGCCCGUUCUACAUUGUGUGGCGCUGCUGCGGUGUCUCCUAGUUACUUGUUUCUUGUAAGAAUUCCGGUGACUGAGUUAGAAGCAUGCUUCCAAGCUGUCCGUGUCCUCGGCAUCCAGAAGCGGAGCCUGGAAGCUUCCGAAUUUCUCCAGAAUGCAGUCUACAUUCACCUUCGGCAGGGCCUGCAACAUGAGCAUCCCUGACUACGAGCAGUGUGCUGAGGACCACCAGACUUUCCCCGUGGUGGUCGAACAGGUGGGGAUCAUCUCAGAGGAGAAUUUCUUUUGCAUCUAUAAGUGAAUCACCUUGGUGAGUCAGAUCAGUCCGUGCGGCUCCCAGUGGGCAAACUGUAUCCACUACAGGCACCACUAUGCGCCCAAGAAUGGGUGGAGCGACUUCCAGACCCAGCGCAAGGUCUUGGGCCUUGUCAUCAUUACUGACUGCCUCUCGGCCAAGGCUUCGAAAAGCUCCACGUGCAGAGGAGCUGUAUGGCACCACGCUCUAUGACUCUCAGCUCUUUGACUUUCUGCUGCAUGGGGAGGUGGCCGAGCAGCCGCGCACCAAAGUGGCCUUCAAUUUACGAGGACUGCAGGGUGGUGGAGAAGAGGAUCAAGGACUUCACUGAGUCACUCUUCAUCUUGCCCAAGUCCAAGAGGCUGGACUGUGCAUCCGACAAUUCUGGGGACAAGAUCCUCCUUCUCUGCAUCCCAUUUGAGAAGGAGGACAUCAUGGGACUGGACACAGAAAGCAGUACGUUUUGGUUACUGAGUCCCUCGAAUUCCCAUAUGAAUUGUAGCAGCAGCUAGUCAGUUACUGCAGAGGAGCCGGCUGGGAUUGUGAUCGAGACCACGUUGAGUAUACAGAUCGCUCUGGGGAGCACUGCCAUCCCAAGAGCGCUGUCAUCUGAUCCAGGAAUGUGCGUGGUGUGUCUGUCCAGGGGAAAAGAGUACAAUUCAAAAAUAUAAAGAUUGUGAGCUAAUGAGAUAGACAAGACAACCGAACAUUUGUUAAAUAUCCUUUCAUGCCGGAAACAAAUGUAUUAUACACACAAAAAGCACACAAAUCACGGUAGUACUGCGGUUACAAACGUGGGUCCGAGUUCGAGUCCUGCUCUGGAGUGACCAGUCCUGUGAGAUGGAGAACUGAGUUCUAUGUAUAGUUGGUUACAUUCUAUACCUGGAAAUUUCUCCAAAACUGCUUCCCACGUGCCCUCACCUCCAGUGGCAUCCAUCCAGACACCAGCACUGACACUGGCCGUGCUCACAACUGCCUUAGCCCUGAAGACACAACUGACAAAUAGAAGGGGGCUACGCCCUAAGACAGCAGGUGCUCUUACUUUGUGGGUCCUUAUGUAACUGCGCGGUGUUAUUCAGGAUCGCCCGUUCUACACUUUGUGACGCUGCUGCCGUGUCUCCUAGUUAUUUCUGAUCUGAGAAGCAGGAGCAAGGAACUCAGGGAGAGAUCCAGGAAGACAUCUGACUCUGUUAAGAGACGACAGUCACAGCGACACGGGGAGCGAGGACACUUGCAGCAAAGUAAAAUGACUUCACAACUAUUGCAUCAGAGCUGCAGGUGUGAGAGAGCCUAAGCCUGUCUCAGAGUGCAGGGGACAAGAGGAAAGGAAUGGCUCCUCAGCUCAGAUGUAAGAAAAGACUCUUUAAACUUCUUGAUGCAGCUCCUUAAUGAAGAUCUUGUGAAGGAAACCUACUCAAAACCUGGGAGCCUAUCCUUCCAAAUGUCCAGGAGACUCUUCCUCAGUCUUGAGUUUCCCGCUGAUGUUACCACUGUCUUUGUUUCUGGAGAGGAAAACAAGUCUAAACUUACUUUCCAGUUGGAAAUGGAAUGGAGAGUUAACGUUGGAAGCCGGGAGAGUCUGUCCUGUGAUGAAGCGGUCUCCGAGCCACUUCCAUGGGGACGUCACGUCACUGUCUGGGCCCCUUGCACAGCCUGUGCACAGCAUUCCUAGGAGAGAAUUCAGCAGUGCAGCAUCCUCUCCGAGCUCUAUGAGUUGAUCGGCUUCCACCGCAAGUCCGCCUUCUUCAAGUGGGUGGCCCCCGUGCAGCGCGUGGCCCCUGGCAUUACGGAGCCUGGCGCGAAGGCCUGCUACCGACUCCUUCUGCAGACGCUUCCUGGCUACAGUCUGUCGCUGGAUCUGCAGGACUUCAGCAAAGGUGUUGGAACUAAAACAUUGCUUCAGUCCCAUUAACCAUGCCAGGUUUGGGCCCUGCUGUCCUGUCUCAUCAGGGUGAAUUCUGAUUCGUUUAGAAUAGGGCUCAGCUGACUUUUUCUGUCAAGGGCUUGGGAGUAAGUAUUUCAGGGUCUGCAAACCUCCUGAUCUCUGGUGCAGCUGCUCAGCUCUGCUGUUCAGACGCCAGAGCAUCCGGACAUUCCACACACCCACAGAGCUUUAUUAACAGCGGUGUCUGGGGCUGGAUUCAGUGUAUGAACUGCAGUUUGUCCCCACAGCCUCCUCAUUAUUGACGCCUUCAACAGAGCAUGCAUUUGCGACACUGGGUGAACCUGCACUGACACGUCAUCAUCACCCAGAGCCCAGACUUGACACUAGGAUUUACACUUGGUGGUGUGCACUCUGUGGGUUUGGACAGAUGUGCAAUGACAUGUAUCCACCGUCACAGCAUCAUACAGAGUAGUCUGUCUUAGUGACCUUAAAAUGCUCCGUGCUGCACCUCAUUCAUUGCUCCUUCCCCUCUAGCCUCUGACAGCCACUGAUCUUUUAGUCUCUGUGGUUUUCCCUUUCCCAGAACACCAUACAGUUGGAAUCAGACAGUUGCGGAACCUUCCCAGAUUGGCUUCUUUCACUUAGUAAUAUGCAUUUAAGGUUCCUCCAUGUCUUUCCAUGCCUUGAUAACUCAUUUCAUUUUAGCACCAAAUAAUAGUCCAUUUUCUGGCUGGACCACAGUUAAUCCAUUCACCUACUGAAGAACAUCUUAGUUGCUUCUGAGUUCUGGUGAUUAUGAAUAAAGCUGCUAUUAACAUCUGUAUGCAGUUUUGUGUGUGGACAUAAGUUUCCAUUUCGUCGAGUAAACACCAAGGAGCACAGUUGCCGGAUCAUGUGUUAGGAGUACGUUUAGUUUUGUAAAAAAUUGCCAGACCGUCUUCCAAAGUAUCUGGGCCAUUUUACAUUCCCACCAGCAAUGCAUGAGAAUUCCUUAUGCUCCACAUCCUCACCAGCAUUCGGUGCUGUCAGCGUUCUGCGUUUUGGCAGUUCUGACAGGUGUGCAGUGGUACCUCGCUGUUUCAGUCUGCAUCCCCUUGAUGACAGAUGCUGUGGAGCAGCUUUCCAUAGAUUUCUUUGGCAUCUAGAUUUUUUCUUUGAUGAGGUCUGUGUCAGGAAUUUUGCUCAUUUUUUAAUCAGGUUGUUCAUUCUUCUUGUUGAGUUUAAAGAGAUUUUGGUAUAUUCUGGAUAUCAGCCCCUUAUCAAUGUGUCCCUGCCCUUCACCUGCAGCACCGGAGUUGUCCUUUGGGUCUCAGUGGAGUGUCAGCUCUUCAAAGAGGUUCCCUGUCUUCCCUCAGCCUAAAUACUGUCCUUGUAUUUUUCACUUUCAUUGACUCAUUUUGUUCUUUUUAAAUAGCAUUUCCCAUAAUUUGUAAGUAUAUUAAAAAAAAAAAGGGCAAUGAUUGAACACCACCUCCCCCACCAGGCUGUGUGCCCUGUGAGAGCAGAGGCCCUGUCCCCACUCACCAUUUCCCAUGACAGCACAUGGCACAUGUCCAUGUAAAAGUGUGUAACGUGGGGCCAAACCUGAUGAGCAGCUAUGAUGACAUGUGUUGGCUACCAUUUAUUGAGUAGACUUUGUUUCUGAUGUAAAUUAUUAAAUCACAUGAAUUAAACUUGUUUGUUUUGAAAAAUAAAACAACAAAGCACACCUCCAUUUGAUUGGUACUUUCUACUUAGCUUUCUGACACAGGAGGGGAUGUUCACAAUCAUUUUCUGGAGGAGGUUGGGGAGGUAAAGUAAGAGAGUGAGAUCAAAUAAAGUAAAAAUGAUAACUAUCAGUUGGCUUUAUUUUCACUAAGACAUAAAAGUUACUUUAAACCCUAUCUCAGCUGUUGUUCUGUUGUUUUAAACAUUUCUCAUAGAAUUAAAUGGAAGCCCACUAAACCCUGAAAGGGAAAUUGUGUGCUCAGGUCCUGAAAAUUGUUUAUGUCUAUUUCUUGAAAUGCACAUUUUCCCUGCUGGUUACAGAAAUUCGAGGCGGGAACAUAGCCGUGCGCUGCGUGUCUGCCGGCUUCACGGGCUGCUCACUGUCAUUUUCAUUUUCUUGUGUUGCAGUUUAUGAAGGUUUUCCCAUGAGAUAUAUUGCUCAGCCUUUUCCUGAAUGAAGGAUUGAAUUUUCCACAGGAAAUCUUAUGAAAGAGAGUGACAAGGCACAUGGGUUUCCCAAAAAGGAAUACUUGAUGUAAUAAACUCUCACUAUGAUGAACCUUUUUUAAUACAAGCCAGUUGAAAAUUUUAUCACUAGGUCAUAGGCCACAAAUCUGU
Molecule: long non-coding RNA, 6802 nt
Organism: Camelus dromedarius (Arabian camel)
Lineage: Eukaryota; Metazoa; Chordata; Mammalia; Artiodactyla; Camelidae
Exons: 15
Source: RefSeq, a predicted model, not a curated record